Molecule: ribosomal RNA, 1680 nt
Filed under: human gut metagenome
Description: bacterial LSU rRNA
Rfam family: Bacterial large subunit ribosomal RNA
Source: RNAcentral
GCGCGGAAAAUUUAACGGGGCUAAGAUACAAACCGAAGCUUAGGCUGCAUCGUAAGAUGCGGGGUAGGGGAGCGUUGUGUAAGCGGAGAAACAGUAGCGUAAGCGGCUGUGGAGUUUACAGAAGUGAGAAUGCCGGAAUGAGUAGCGCGAAUGUGGUGAGAAUCCACAUGGCCGGAAACCUCAGGUUUUUGGAGGAAGGUUCGUCCGCUCCAAGUUAGGCGGGAGCUAAGGUGAGGCCGAAAGGCGUAGCCGAUGCACAGACGGUAGAGAUUCCGUCACCACCAAAAGAGUUAAGCACAGGGACACAUUUGAAGUCUCAGAGCCGGGUGUUGGUUCCGGUAGAGAUCGAGGGAAGUUAGUACCGAAGUCUGGGAUGGAAGAUGGCGAGAAAAGCUGUGUGGAUUUCUGAGGUGCCCGUACCGCAAACCGACACAGGUAGGUAGGAAGAAGAUUCUAAGGCCAACGGGAGAAGGGUUGUUAAGGAACUCGGCAAGUUGACCCCGUAACUUCGGAAUAAGGGGUGCUCAUGAAAGUGAGCCGCAGAGAAUAGGCCCAGGCAACUGUUUACCAAAAACACAGGUUUGUGCUAAAUCGAAAGAUGACGUAUACGAGCUGACGCCUGCCCGGUGCUGGAAGGUUAAAAGGAGAUGUGCAAGCAUUGAAUUGAAGCCCCAGUGAACGGCGGCCGUAACUAUAACGGUCCUAAGGUAGCGAAAUUCCUUGUCAGGUAAGUUCUGACCCGCAUGAAAGGCGUAAUGAUCUGGGCACUGUCUCAACAGCCCGCCCGGCGAAAUUGUAGUACCGGUGAAGAUGCCGGUUACCCGCGACAAGACGGAAAGACCCCAUGGAGCUUUACUGUAGCCUAAUAUUGGGUUUCGAUGUUGCAUGCACAGGAUAGAUGGGACACAGGGAAACAAGUGCUUUGGCAUUUGUGGAGUGGCCGUUGGGAUACCAUCCUUGCGAUAUUGGAAUUCUAACCUGCGCCUUUGAAUCAAGGCGGGGGACAUUGUUAGGUGGGCAGUUUGACUGGGGCGGUCGCCUCCUAAAGAGUAACGGAGGCGUUCAAAGGUUCGCUCAGCUUGAACGGAAAUCAAGCAAAAGAGUGCAAACGCAGAAGCGAGCCUAACUGCGAGACUGACGGGUCGAGCAGUAACGAAAGUUGGAGUUAGUGAUCCGGUGGUAUGUGAGUGGAAAUGCCAUCGCUCAACGGAUAAAAGCUACCCUGGGGAUAACAGGCUGAUCUCCCCCAAGAGUCCACAUCGACGGGGAGGUUUGGCACCUCGAUGUCGGCUCAUCGCAUCCUGGGGCUGUAUUCGGUCCCAAGGGUUUGGCUGUUCGCCAAUUAAAGCGGUACGCGAGCUGGGUUCAGAACGUCGUGAGACAGUUCGGUCCCUAUCUGUCGUGGGCGCAGGAUAUUUGAUGGGAGCUGUCCCUAGUACGAGAGGACCGGGACGGACGUACCUCUGGCGCACCAGUUGUUCCGCCAGGAGCAUAGCUGGGCAACUACGUACGGAUCGGAUAAACGCUGAAAGCAUCUAAGCGUGAAGCCGACCCAAAGAUAAGAUAUCCCACUGAUUCAAUCAGGUAAGAUCCCUUGAAGACUACAAGGUUGAUAGGCACGAUGUGUAAGUGGAGUGAUCCAUUCAGCAAGCGUGUACUAAUAGGUCGAGGGCUUGACCA